AUGGUGAUUUUACACUUGCGGUGGAAUAGCUACCUAUUGUAUACUCGGUUUUCGCCUGCAUCCAAGCUGUGUGAGCAUCUGAUGACACGUGGCUUGGAGUUUAUUCAAUUCAAUUCCACACAUUUUGGGCCAGGAUUCAUAUGCAACCCGGAACUUGUCAAUUAUUCAACUGAAGAAUUGGUCAAUUGUAACUGUGGCUGA
Vicia faba (fava bean) is the source of this 201-nucleotide non-coding RNA. The record is from the annotation of a GenBank genome assembly. NCBI's taxonomy places the organism in Eukaryota, Viridiplantae, Streptophyta, Magnoliopsida, Fabales, Fabaceae.